This is a non-coding RNA of Peromyscus maniculatus bairdii (prairie deer mouse), 333 nucleotides long. NCBI's taxonomy places the organism in Eukaryota, Metazoa, Chordata, Mammalia, Rodentia, Cricetidae. The record is from RefSeq and is a predicted model, not a curated record.
CAGACCCACUGAUAAAGGAAGACAGCCUCCCAGGACAUUGGGCUCUUCUCCAAGGCCAUUCAGCUCAGAUUUGGUGUGAAGUCUGAAUUCAAGUUUAGCAGAAGCCACUCCAUCUAGGACCCUCAAGGAAGGCAGUGAGGCCCUACCAGUACAUUCUUGUAGGCCUGUUAUGAGGCUCCAGCGAGAAAAGCUAUGCAAAGGCAAACUAGAACACAGCAAGUACUCCACGAGCCCUGGCUGUUACUACUUUUAAAGGCAGGACUCUGGGAAUUAUCCUCCCUUAGUGAAAGAGGUCUGAGGCAAACAGGACACCUCAAGGUUCUUAAAGUCAUC